This 312-nucleotide ribosomal RNA is filed under the name uncultured Lactobacillus sp. Its description in RNAcentral is "bacterial SSU rRNA". It matches the Rfam family "Bacterial small subunit ribosomal RNA", at positions 233 to 525 of the family's 1533-position model. Lineage: Bacteria; Bacillati; Bacillota; Bacilli; Lactobacillales; Lactobacillaceae. The record is from RNAcentral.
GCGAUGCAUUAGCUAGUUGGGUAAGGGUAACGGGCUUACCAAGGCGAUGAUGCAUAGCCCGAGUUGAGAGACUGAUCGGGCCACAUUGGGACUGAGACACGGCCCAAACUCCUACGGGAGGCAGCAGUAGGGGAAUCUUCCACAAUGGACGAAAAGUCUGAUGGAGCAAAACGCCGCGUGAGUGAAGAAGGUUUUCGGAUCGUAAAAGCUCUGUUGUUGGUGAAGAAGGAUAGAGGUAGUAACUGGCCUUUAUUUGACGGUAAUCAACCAGAAAGUCACGGGCUAACUACGUACCCAGCAGCCGCGGUAAAU